GGAUCUCUACAGGUGACCACACCUGUAGAGAUCCUCCGUCCUCAGGAUCCCUGAAGGCGCAGGUUGCGUCACCUGGUCACGUGACCGCAGGAAGUGACUGGAAGAGCAGCAGCAGCUGAGGUGACAGCGUGAAUUCACAAUGACAUCUUUAUCUCAUAAAGUUGCAGCAGCGAUCCAUACUCUGUAUAUUACGGUCUUAUUGGACUGGAGUUUGAGACUUAAUGAGUUUCAUCUGUGGAGCCGCCCACGCAGCGAGCAGCCGCUCCGGAGCCUCGCUGCUGCUUUAAUUCAUUACCGUGGAUCCUCACUCCUACUUAACUCACUGAAACUCAGACAGCAAGUUACUUCCUCCAACUGUUCAGGGGAAGAUGUGAGCGAGGCGAAGGAGAAGCUGCCGCCAUCUUUUCAGAGACACUAAUUACAGAGAACCCACAGCACAAGGAGAACAUGGUUCUGGUUCUGGUCCAGUUGUGAUGUAACUGGUUUUCCUCUAUGCGUUCUGUUUGGGUCGGUGAGGAGCCGCCGGGCUCCAGGGACAGCAGAUUAACGGAGCGCAGGUCCAUCGCUAAGCUGCUGUGAAGGAGAAACUUCUAAAGUUCUGAUCCGGUCCGGUCCGCUCGGCGGCCCAAAGCGGCUUUAGGAGCUAAUCUGAGCUUCGUGGAGGAGAAACUGAAUGGAGGAGAUGAAGGCUUGGAGCUCCUCAGGGAUCCUGCUGCGGCCCGGACCGUUCCCAUCAUCGGUCCGGCUCAUUAUUCCCGCCUUUGUCUUCAGAACCAGAUUCAGAACCUGCGGCCCGGCGGCGCUCUGCCUGCUAAUCCUCCACCAGACGCUUCAGGAUGAUAUCAGAUUAAACUGUGAGCGACCCGGCAGAACCUCCAGAACCAGCCAGCACCGCAGAGACCCUGCUCUCCGCUUCACCUCUGACCCCUGAGCGCUGCUGCUGCUUUUGCAGGGACGCACUGCCACCCAGUGGCCGCUCAAGGCACUGCAGCAGAACUUCACCCACCAAAUGUUCCUGCAGCGAUUUGUGAACCGAUUCAGAUUCAUGCUGCAGUUUAUUACAAAAUAAUCCAGCUGAAACCGCGCCCGACUGUUGCCAUGGUAACUGAAAUCCUUCAGAGGUUUCCUCCAACCAACAGCUGCAGAUUCAUCUCAGCAGAACUCGAAGAAAAGUUUUCUGGAUCAACAUCAAGAUCAGCCGCAAACGUCAAACCAAAUAAUCUGGUGCCAAUAUCUCAGAAUACCAUAAAACAAGACAAACAUACAGUAACGGUUCAGUGGGAUAUUAGAGCUUCAGUCAAUAACUCCUUCAAACUGAAGAAAAUAACUAAUUCAUCAUUUAAAUUCUGAAGUGCAAUAAUCUGCAAGAAGUGACUAUUUUGAAAUUUCUCAUUUUUAAAGAGCCACAUUUUAUUUUUGUUUUUAGGUUUUAAAAUGGAAAAAACAAAACAAAAAAACGAACCUUUUGCAGAAAAUAAAGAUGGAUGUUUCCUUUUGUGGGAUGAAAAAUAGAUCUAAAUAUCACAAGUAUUUUUUGAUGUAAUUCUGUCCUGGAAUAUUAAUUUACUGCAAGAACAAAUGCUUAAACAAUCAUGUUAUUAAAUUUACAUUUUAGUUUAUUAAGUCAAAGUUUUCAACUUUUUUCAGGUUGGAGGCUCUGAUCCCGUCCUGAACUCUACACUGAAAAACUAAAACAGCUGAUCCAACUUAAAUUGAGUUAAUUUGUUAGUUUAUCCAAAAUUAUCAAGUUUAUUAAGGUGUCAUGGUAA
Poecilia latipinna (sailfin molly) is the source of this 1769-nucleotide long non-coding RNA. RefSeq lists it as uncharacterized. The record is from RefSeq and is a predicted model, not a curated record. The transcript has 2 exons. NCBI's taxonomy places the organism in Eukaryota, Metazoa, Chordata, Actinopteri, Cyprinodontiformes, Poeciliidae.